UGCCAGCAGCCGCGGUAAGACGGAGGGUGCUAGCGUUGUUCGGAAUCACUGGGCGUAAAGGGCGCGUAGGCGGCCUCGCAAGUCGGGCGUGAAAGCCCGGGGCUCAACCCCGGAACGGCGCCCGAGACUGCGAAGCUUGAGGCCGGAAGAGGAGGGUGGAAUACCCAGUGUAGAGGUGAAAUUCGUAGAUAUUGGGUGGAACACCGGUGGCGAAAGCGGCUCUCUGGUCCGGUCCUGACGCUGAGGCGCGAAAGCGUGGGGAGCAAACAGGAUUAGAUA
This 279-nucleotide ribosomal RNA is filed under the name uncultured bacterium. Its description in RNAcentral is "partial 16S ribosomal RNA". It matches the Rfam family "Bacterial small subunit ribosomal RNA", at positions 506 to 784 of the family's 1533-position model. The record is from RNAcentral.